CGGGGGGAGCAAGCGUUGUUCGGAUUUACUGGGCGUAAAGGGCGCGUAGGCGGCCACCGCAAGUCGACUGUGAAAUCUCCGGGCUUAACCCGGAAAGGUCAGCCGAUACUGCGGGGCUAGAGUGCAGAAGGGGCAACUGGAAUUCUCGGUGUAGCGGUGAAAUGCGUAGAUAUCGAGAGGAACACCUGCGGCGAAGGCGGGUUGCUGGGCUGACACUGACGCUGAGGUGCGAAAGCUAGGGGAGCGAACGGGAUUAGAUACCCCGGUAGUCCUAGCCUUAAACGAUGAAUGCUUGGUGUCUGGGGUUUUAUAGUCCCCGGGUGCCGUCGCUAACGCUUUAAGCAUUCCGCCUGGGGAGUACGGUCGCAAGACUG
RNAcentral lists this ribosomal RNA (374 nucleotides) under uncultured organism. RNAcentral's name for it is "bacterial SSU rRNA". It matches the Rfam family "Bacterial small subunit ribosomal RNA", at positions 526 to 896 of the family's 1533-position model. The record is from RNAcentral.